RNAcentral lists this ribosomal RNA (429 nucleotides) under Fusobacteriota bacterium. RNAcentral's name for it is "Fusobacteria bacterium partial 16S ribosomal RNA". It matches the Rfam family "Bacterial small subunit ribosomal RNA", at positions 355 to 776 of the family's 1533-position model. Lineage: Bacteria; Fusobacteriati; Fusobacteriota. The record is from RNAcentral.
UGGGGAAUAUUGCGCAAUGGGCGAAAGCCUGACGCAGCGACGCCGCGUGAGGGAUGAAGGUUUUCGGAUCGUAAACCUCUGUCAGAAGGGAAGAAACCGCACUGUGCUAAUCAGCAGUGCCUUGACGGUACCUUCAAAGGAAGCACCGGCUAACUCCGUGCCAGCAGCCGCGGUAAUACGGAGGGUGCAAGCGUUAAUCGGAAUUACUGGGCGUAAAGCGCACGUAGGCUGCUUUGUAAGUCAGGGGUGAAAUCCCACGGCUCAACCGUGGAACUGCCUUUGAUACUGCUUAGCUUGAAUCCGGGAGAGGGUGGCGGAAUUCCAGGUGUAGGAGUGAAAUCCGUAGAUAUCUGGAGGAACAUCAGUGGCGAAGGCGGCCACCUGGAUCGGUAUUGACGCUGAGGUGCGAAAGCGUGGGGAGCAAACAGG